AAUCAACGCUGGCGGCGUGCCUCAGACAUGCAAGUCGAACGCUGCUGUUCGCCUUCGGGUGGACGAGCGGAGUGGCGGCACGGGUGGAGUAACACGUAGGUAAUCUACCUUUGGGUGGGGAAUAACAGCCGGAAACGGCUGCUAAUACCGCAUAAUGCAGCGGCAUCACAUGAUGACAGUUGUUAAAGCGAGGGAUCGUAAGACCUCGCGCCUGAAGAGGAGCCUGCGGCAGAUUAGGUAGUUGGUGAGGUAAUGGCUCACCAAGCCUGCGAUCUGUAACCGGCUUGAGAGGGCGGUCGGUCACACUGACACUGACAUA
RNAcentral lists this ribosomal RNA (319 nucleotides) under uncultured bacterium. RNAcentral's name for it is "bacterial SSU rRNA". It matches the Rfam family "Bacterial small subunit ribosomal RNA", at positions 32 to 326 of the family's 1533-position model. The record is from RNAcentral.